RNAcentral lists this ribosomal RNA (494 nucleotides) under uncultured bacterium. RNAcentral describes it as "partial 16S ribosomal RNA". It matches the Rfam family "Bacterial small subunit ribosomal RNA", at positions 28 to 507 of the family's 1533-position model. The record is from RNAcentral.
GACGAACGCUGGCGGCGUGCUUAACACAUGCAAGUCGAACGGAAAGGCCUGCUUUCCCUUGUGGAUUGCGGUUACUCGAUUGGCGAACGGUUAAUUAACACGUGAUUGAUCUGCCCCCAACUUGGGUAUAAGCCUGGGAAACUGGUUCUAAUUCCCGAUAGGACUGCAGGUUGGUGCCGGUGGUGGAAAACGAUUUUCUAUUGUUUGGGGAUGAGCUCGCGGCCUAUCAGCUUGUUGGUGGGGUAAUGGCCUACCAAGGCGGCGACGGGUAGCCGGCCUGAGAGGGUGGACGGCCACAUUGGGACUGAGAUACGGCCCAGACUCCUACGGGAGGCAGCAGUGGGGAAUAUUGCACAAUGGGCGGAAGCCUGAUGCAGCGACGCCGCGUGGGGGAUGACGGCCUUCGGGUUGUAAACUCCUUUCGACCGCGAGGAAGCCACCUGGUUGGAAGGGUGGUGACGGUAGUGGUAGAAGAAGCACCGGCUAACUACGUG